Ailuropoda melanoleuca (giant panda) is the source of this 107-nucleotide small nuclear RNA. The record is from Ensembl. Lineage: Eukaryota; Metazoa; Chordata; Mammalia; Carnivora; Ursidae.
GUGCUUGCUUUGGGAGCACAUGUACUAGAGUUGGAAUGACACAGAAAAGGUUAGCGUGGCCCCCAUGCAAGGAUGAAACACAAACUCGUGAAGUGUCCCAUAUUUCU